AAGACUUUAAGUUAAGUAAACUAAAGACCUUCAAAGUCUUAAAUGACCUAUAGUCAAGUCUUG
This 63-nucleotide transfer RNA is filed under the name Hediste japonica. RNAcentral describes it as "tRNA-Trp". The record is from RNAcentral. Lineage: Eukaryota; Metazoa; Annelida; Polychaeta; Phyllodocida; Nereididae.